Long non-coding RNA from Saccostrea echinata, 1284 nucleotides. RefSeq lists it as uncharacterized. Lineage: Eukaryota; Metazoa; Mollusca; Bivalvia; Ostreida; Ostreidae. The record is from RefSeq and is a predicted model, not a curated record. The transcript is spliced from 4 exons.
AGCAGUGCUCCGCUAGGGGUCGCUGGGAUGAAAAAAUGCACAGAUUGUAAGAAAUCUGAUCGCAAAGUAGAGUCAUAGAAGGCUGAAGAACAGGGGGUGCACGAAAGUAUUGCCAUGAUGUCAUAAUCCUACGCACAGGUAGACUCGGGACUUAUCAAUAUUAAUUAGAUACUAACAAUAACAUAGCAACAGGAAGCGGAACACGAGAGUUCAGCAUCGUCCCCCAACACAGUUUAGCGACACCUCCCGCCAAAUAUGGAGAGCAGAGCUGUUGUGUAUUACAGUGAAUCUAAUUGCUUUUGAGCGACUAACAGAGAGGAACAAUUUCAAGCAGUUCUUCUCUCGGCACAUUGUCUUUGCGAUGCCUUGAAGUGUGAAUCCAAAUAUGUCGCACGUCGCCGGCCUUGAAAGAAAACUACUAAUGUCUUCCCCUUCCGCAUUCACCCGACAUGUCCUCAAAUAACGAUUAAUUUCUAAUUUCAUUAUCCUAACAGGAGUUUUAUGCUUUUCUAAUGAAAUGCUUUACUCAGCAGUUGGUAACGAACAAUGUCAUUGCUAUGUUGUUUACGUAAUAAUUUUGACUACGGUUAUACUCUUUGGAAACGUUUUCAAGAACAUUUCCUAUACUUUGUUGGAUUUCUAUUUUUUUUCCUGGGCAAUUUCAGAAAACUCCACGAGAAUCUGUCUUCCAUUGUUUGCUGCACAACAGUCGAACUACAUUUCAUCUAUAGACAGAUCGUGUUAUCAAAACGACUAGAGGAAAAAGAGGUUUUCAUUCUGAAACUACGUUCAUGGAACAGAUGUCGUGUAUACGGAAUUGGCAAUUUAGCAGUAUCUUCAUUGGACUUUUUUAAAUUGAAAACGUGAUUGUAGUCGGUUAGGAAUCUUCUUGAAGUCAUGCAGAGUUAUGAUGUAAAAUUGCACUGCAAAAGCUGAAAGAAUCCGGAAACUAAAGUGUUACAGGCAGUCAGAAUGGCAGAUGGACCUCAAUUUUACCUGAAGUUUAAAAAAUGUCAGGCAUUGUAUUUGUGUAAUCAAUGACUUUUGUGCUCCUAAUUGCUUGUCGUCAGCUUUUGGAAAAUGAUAACUCAAGCUUGAUUCAAAGGAUAUUUUGUGGAAUGUAUACAUGUGGCUUUAAUGAAUAGCAAGUUAAAUAUUUUCCGGAAUGUUUGAUAUCUUAUAAACAUCGCCACUGAUCAACAUAUGCACAUUUCCAUUAUGGAGGACGGUGUAUUGCGAAUUUUUUCAUCUAAAAAACCUAACCAAUAAAGUAUUUAUUCAUUA